GCCUUCGGCCACGCCCCGCUGAACACGCCCGAUCCCGUCUGAUCUCGGAAGCUAAGCAGGGUCGAGCCUGGUUAGUACUUGGAUGGGAGACGGCCUGGGAAAACUGGGUGCUGUAGGCU
This 119-nucleotide ribosomal RNA is filed under the name Pteropus alecto (black flying fox). Lineage: Eukaryota; Metazoa; Chordata; Mammalia; Chiroptera; Pteropodidae. The record is from RNAcentral.